AUUGAACGCUGGCGGCAUGCUUUACACAUGCAAGUCGGACGGCAGCACAGAGAAGCUUGCUUCUUGGGUGGCGAGUGGCGAACGGGUGAGUAACAUAUCGGAACGUACCGAGCAGUGGGGGAUAACUAAUCGAAAGAUUAGCUAAUACCGCAUAUUUUCUGAGGAAGAAAGCAGGGGACCAUUUGGCCUUGCGCUGUUUGAGCGGCCGAUAUCUGAUUAGCUAGUUGGUGGGGUAAAGGCCUACCAAGGCGACGAUCAGUAGCGGGUCUGAGAGGAUGAUCCGCCACACUGGGACUGAGACACGGCCCAGACUCCUACGGGAGGCAGCAGUGGGGAAUUUUGGACAAUGGGCGCAAGCCUGAUCCAGCCAUGCCGCGUGUCUGAAGAAGGCCUUCGGGUUGUAAAGGACUUUUGUCAGGGAAGAAAAGGGCGGGGUUAAUACCCCUGUCUGAUGACG
This 457-nucleotide ribosomal RNA is filed under the name Neisseria flava. RNAcentral describes it as "bacterial SSU rRNA". It matches the Rfam family "Bacterial small subunit ribosomal RNA", at positions 30 to 487 of the family's 1533-position model. The record is from RNAcentral. Lineage: Bacteria; Pseudomonadati; Pseudomonadota; Betaproteobacteria; Neisseriales; Neisseriaceae.